GCAACACCUCUUGAGCACACCAGCAGACUCAUCUGAAGCUCCUUCACAAUAUCUCCACUAACCAAACCAACCAAAUCAUAUCAAUAGUUCUGUUGAUAGCAGUUACCCAUUCAUCAGCUAGAUCAUAAAGAAGCAGAUCAGGAAGUAAGGAGGAGAAGGCAUGCCACCAGAAGCAAAGUAUCACAGAAGCUAGAAGAACCAACCAGCUAUCAAGCUAUAGAGCAACAGAUAUGGAGGCAUCGAAGGAGGAUCUACAGUGCAACUCGAAGGCCGAGGAAUCAACAACUACUUUAAGAGACAAGGAACCUGUCAGAGGAGUCAGAUACCACAUACAACAAGGAGAAAACCUAGCUUAGCAAUAGAAGGGAACUAGCUUCCUAAACCUAGCUCCUAAUUAGCUAGAAUCUAUUCAUAGCCCCUAUAGCUAGUCAAAUACUCUACAAAUAGAGUUCGUGAUAGGAUUAGACUACGAGUCGUUCUUCUGGAGUUUAUUUGCAGUUUUACCUCAUUGUAAAGUAGGAGGCUGUGAUGAUCUUAUGUAACAGAGUCAAUAUUGUAAUUCUAUAGACAUGCCUUGGACCCGCAUAUGUUUCUGUUGUACCA
Molecule: long non-coding RNA, 603 nt
Organism: Lolium perenne
Lineage: Eukaryota; Viridiplantae; Streptophyta; Magnoliopsida; Poales; Poaceae
Source: RefSeq, a predicted model, not a curated record